Molecule: ribosomal RNA, 301 nt
Filed under: uncultured bacterium
Lineage: Bacteria
Description: partial 16S ribosomal RNA
Rfam family: Bacterial small subunit ribosomal RNA
Source: RNAcentral
CAGUAGCCACGGGAAUACGAAGGGGGCUAGCGUUGUUCGGAUUUACUGGGCGUAAAGGGCGCGUAGGCGGACUGAUAAGUCAGGGGUGAAAUCCCAAGGCUCAACCUUGGAACUGCCUUUGAUACUGUUUGUCUUGAGUUCGAGAGAGGUAAGUGGAACUGCGAGUGUAGAGGUGAAGUUCGUAGAUAUUCGCAAGAACACCAGUGGUGAAGGCGGCUUACUGGCUCGAAACUGACGCUGAGGCGCGAAAGCGUGGGGAGCAAACAGGAUUAGAUACCCCCGUAGUCCCUGUCUCUUAUAC